This is a long non-coding RNA of Eurytemora carolleeae, 858 nucleotides long. RefSeq lists it as uncharacterized. The record is from RefSeq and is a predicted model, not a curated record. The transcript is spliced from 3 exons. NCBI's taxonomy places the organism in Eukaryota, Metazoa, Arthropoda, Copepoda, Calanoida, Temoridae.
AGACAUGCAGGCACGAAUAUGAUAGUAAAAAUUAAAAUUGCAUUUUUGGGACUUCAUUUCAGCCUUUAUAACAAUUUGCAAGUCAUGAAACAGGAUGAACUUUGAAUUUCAUAUGCAAAAACGGAAAACAUAUUUUGUGUAUAACAGGAUGAUACUCGAGCGUGCAUUAUGUUCUCUCUUCAAGUUGAAGCCUUUAUGCGUUACAGGGCAUUACAAACACGUGAAAAUACAUCCUUAUCUCAGAAAUACAAAGACUCUUCGAAUGUCUGCCGAUUUGUUCGCCUUUACUACUCAGUCCUGCGAUCUAGCGGAGUAACUGCAGAAUGUAGGAUGAAGGUGUUGGGAUAUUUAAUCGUUCGUAUAAAUGAUAUGAUUAAAUUGGAAGAUUUUCUACCUUGGGAAGGAGAAUAUGUUUGCGGAGUAGCUCGGCAUACAUUUGAGGAAUUAUGCUUACACUUUUUUCGAAUUGUCAUAAGUAAACUUCUCUGAAUAGUCUGGAAAAUAUAAUUUGAAACUCAAAAAAAACUGUAAGCAUAAUCCAGGGUAUCGUAAUUAACUGUUGGAACAGGUUAUUCAUCGAUCAAUUCCAUCAAGCUAAUCACCCAAGAUGUGUACAAUCAUCACAAUACUGUGAAUAUUUCUUUUCAACAGUUACUCAGCUAAGCAACUCGCCGACUGGAGCUCCUCUUGGCUCCAAAAUUGAUAAAAUCAUGUCCCGAGCCAUCCUUACCAGAAGGAUGCAAAUUAAGCUUGGAGAUUGAUUUUCAUAUCUUCAUUCCCAUAACCCAAUAUAUCGACAGGAAAUAAAUGAGGAUAUAGAGACAAGGAAUCGAGUUUAUAGGAACUGCACUGAUAUUC